UACGGGGGGGGCAAGCGUUGUUCGGAAUUACUGGGCGUAAAGGGCUCGUAGGCGGCCAACUAAGUCAGACGUGAAAUCCCUCGGCUUAACCGGGGAACUGCGUCUGAUACUGGUUGGCUUGAGUGUGGGAGAGGGAUGCGGAAUUCCAGGUGUAGCGGUGAAAUGCGUAGAUAUCUGGAGGAACACCGGUGGCGAAGGCGGCUUCCUGGACCGGUUCUGACACUGAGGAGCGAAAGCGUGGGGAGCGAUCCGG
This 253-nucleotide ribosomal RNA is filed under the name uncultured bacterium. RNAcentral describes it as "partial 16S ribosomal RNA". It matches the Rfam family "Bacterial small subunit ribosomal RNA", at positions 524 to 776 of the family's 1533-position model. The record is from RNAcentral.